GCAAUACCUGCCCAGUGCGAAAUAUUACUGUAAACGGCCGCCCUAGCGUGAGGGUGCUAAGGUAGCGAAAUUCCUUGCCUUUUGAUUGUAGGCCUGCAUGAAUGGUUUAACGAGGGUUUAACUGUCUCUAAAUUUUUUAUUGAAAUUGUACUGAAGGUGAAGAUACCUUCAUUUAAAAGUUAGACAAAAAGACCCCGUGCAACUUUGAAAAUUAACUUUAUUCAGAAGUAAAAGAUUUUUAGGUGGGGCGCCUAGAAAGUAAGUCUAACCUUUCUGAAUAAUUAGUUCUUUCCGGAUUCGACCCGAUUAUAUUCGAUCAUAGGAGAAGUUACGCCGGGGAUAACAGGCUAAUCCUUUAGUAGAGCUCGUAUUGGCUAAAGGGAUUGGCACCUCGAUGUUGAAUCAGGGAUGAUAGCUUCAGGGCGUAGAGGCUU
This 434-nucleotide ribosomal RNA is filed under the name Magallana hongkongensis (Hong Kong oyster). Its description in RNAcentral is "partial 16S ribosomal RNA". It matches the Rfam family "Bacterial large subunit ribosomal RNA", at positions 1852 to 2564 of the family's 2925-position model. The record is from RNAcentral. Lineage: Eukaryota; Metazoa; Mollusca; Bivalvia; Ostreida; Ostreidae.